UAUAAUCAUCUUCUUGUAUUUCUUCAGUGAUUUUGUUAGUGACUGUUAUGUUAAAGGUUCAACUUUUUCUUCUUUUCUCUCCUGCAGACAUCAGUGAACAAACUGAACAUCUUCAUCACAGAGCUGGAGAUGACGUCCUUGUAGAACUACAUCCUCCUCUUCCUCGUGCUCUGAUGUUACAUGGCUGAACCAGAAAGAUCCAGAUGAAGCACUGAGACCAGAAGUCCACAAAGGAAGUGUUGUCCAGAGUUAACUUAGAGCUUCCAGGCUGAAUGUGAGCACUGACUGCUCUCUGCUCAUCACAAACAUCUCUGAUGAAGAUGCUGCUCCAUGUCUCUGUGGGCUCAGGAACAAGAACGCGUUUGAGGCGUAUCUUAAUACUUUGAGCAGUGAGUAUUCUGACAUGAAUAAUUCUGUGACUUCAUGGUUGUCAACAUUCUGAUCUUUUUCAGAAACAGCUCAAACCCUGAAGAGACUCUGACGUUUGGAGUUUUUCAUCUAAACCUUCAGAUUCUACAAUAGAUUCAAUAUUAUUCCUUUAUUUACGUUCAGAGUCAGAACUAAUCAGUUUUCAUCUCAGAUGAGGGGGGGAUUUAUCUCACAAAUCCAGAGCUUCUGGGCUUUUCUAAUUCUAAGAAUGAUAGGAGUUAGACCAGACAGACCCGGAGAAUCAGGACUAGAAAGACAAAGAAAGAGCUGACAACAAAGUUUCAGCUUCAUGCAGAAAACAUUUCUGUGGUUCAUUUGAUAUAGUUUUAGAUCAUUUCUAUAAUAAUGUUUGUUGAAAGUUGUCAGAAAAUGAUGAGACUCCAUCAUCCUCUGUAAUAGUUUACUCUGAAACUCCAAAAUCCAGACUAUUUCUGUUUGUUGAACCAAAUGAAAACAUUUCUCUGAAUAGUUUCUAAAAUGGUCAAAUCAGCUCUUUCUUUAGAAAACGGUCAGCAGGUACAUGUGGUCACUGUCAGGACCAAAGGUUUUCAUGGAAAAACCUCUUUUCUGUUUGUGUUUUCCUUCAGUUUGUAAAGAUCCAGCAGACGUUCCUCCCAGAGGAAGUGGAAGUGUCCCAUUCCAGUGUUCACUGAGUAGAUUUGAUCCAACUAUUCCCUGUAGACACAACAGCUUCAUCUGGAUGAAUGAGACGGGAUCUCAGCUGUCUGGUGACGGAGUUGGCUUGGAGUUUAGAGGACAACCAGACUGUGUUUCUGUUCUGACUGGGAAACAACCAAACGUUCAUCUGUCAGUUUGUGGAGGAUGAGGAGGUGAAGACAGAUGCUGUCUAUGUUCUGGACUCUUCAGAUCUUUCUGGUCACAACUUCAUCAUCAUGGUUGGAGCCGUGAUGAAGGUGGUGUUGAUGUUUCUGGGUGUGGUUGCUGCUCUGGUCUACAUGUCCAGGAGGAGAACCAAAGGGAACGAGGACCAGAGAACUAGAACAAGGAGAAAAAUUGUUGCUGGUGAUGAAGAUGCCCUGUGAGGAAGAGAUGCAGAAAACUCUGUUUAUAUUUGUUGUUGUUUAUGUUUAGAUUUAGAAAAAAGUCUGUUUUUUCCUGCAUUUUAAUAAGAAAUAAUCUCUUUGUGCUUUAAAUGCAGACAUAUGGCCGGGGCUAUUGAGCACCUUUAUUAUAAAUCAUGUGUAUUAACAAUUAAAAAAUAGAAUAGAUUAUAUCAAACAUAUUAGAUUAGAUCAACAACGCGUCCCCCGCCGUCUCUGUUUACAUUCCUCCCGUUCUCGGUUGCUAAGCUGGAGGCUGAGCAGCUUCCUGACCCCCGCUGACCCCCGCUGACAUGGGCGAGCAGCCCGGAGUGACACAGCCACCUCAGAGGACCGCGGGGGACACGUUGUUGAUCUAAUCACUUUCAGUGUUAAGUCAAUGGUACAGACGCCAUCUGAGGUCCUCCAACGCCAUUUGAGCGGUGGGCGUGGCCACUUUCAAUGUUAAGUCAAUGGCACAGACGCCAUCUGAGGUCCUGCAGCGCCAUUUGAGCGGUGGGCGUGGCCACUUUCAAUGUUAAGUCAAUGGCACAGACGCCAUCUGAGGUCCUGCGGCGCCAUUUGAGCGGUGGGCGUGGCCACUUUCAAUGUUAAGUCAGUGGCACAGACGCCAUCUGAGGUCCUGAAGCGCCAUUUGAGCGGUGGGCGUGGCCACUUUCAAUGUUAGGUCAAUGGCACAGACGCCAUCUGAGGUCCUCCAACGCCAUUUGAGCGGUGGGCGUGGCCACUUUCAAUGUUAAGUCAAUGGCACAGACGCCAUCUGAGGUCCUGCAGCGCCAUUUGAGCGGUGGGCGGCGCUAAAAUCAGUGCUGAUCAGACUGCAUGGAGCCCAAGCUCCAGAAAAGAGGAGAGGAGAAGAAGAAGUCGUCCACAUGAAGCUUCACCUUAGAGGAAAAGAGGAGCUGCUGAACUAAAGUACUCGAGUACUGAGGAAGACUUUCAACCUCUGAUGGAUUCUGUAGAACAUCUGGAACUAGAAUGGAGAAAGUGCUUCAGUUCCAUCAGCUGUCAGUCUGCAGCAGCUUCAUCUGCUGCCUCCAUCCUCUCUCUGUGAGUCUCUGCAGAGUUUUUCUGCAGCUGCUGGUUUUUCUGCAGCAGCAGCAGCAUCAGAGCCAGAGAGCCAAAGAAAGUGGAAAGUCUGAGAAGGAAGCAGCUCUGAAGCUCUGCAGCUGACGGUGCAGCUUCAGGACUCAUGAGGAGGAGCACAUGCACGGCUCUGAUGCUGCUGAACGUCUGACUGAGAUGAUCCACAUUCAGAAGAGAGUUUCAGAGUGAAAGACGUGUGGAA
Long non-coding RNA from Oryzias latipes (Japanese medaka), 2778 nucleotides. RefSeq lists it as uncharacterized. The record is from RefSeq and is a predicted model, not a curated record. NCBI's taxonomy places the organism in Eukaryota, Metazoa, Chordata, Actinopteri, Beloniformes, Adrianichthyidae.